GCACUGGCUCAGGCUCAGCUCUGUUCCUUUGCACGCCCAGAGCAUGUUCCUCCAGCUGAAGGCAACGCUACAAACAAAACCACAUUCUUCUGUCUACAUUGUUUCCAGCUGCAGUAAAUUUUAAGCAAAAUCAGAUAUUAUUUAGUGAGAGCAGGUACAGGAUCAGUGCUGGCUUUGCUAAGGUUUCCUUAUUGGGUUGCAUCUCAGUUCAGCGGGAUGGAGAGCAGUGGACUCUCUCGGCUGUGGUCCCUGCAACAACCCACAGCGCAGGUAAUGUCACUCCCCAUGGGGCAUGCAGAAGGAAAGCACGGAUCUGGCAGGGUUUCCAACAUUGAAGAGGUUCCUCUCUGAAGAUUUUAUUCUUCUUGGAAGGAGAAACUU
RNAcentral lists this long non-coding RNA (381 nucleotides) under Calidris pugnax (ruff). Its description in RNAcentral is "lncRNA (ENSCPUG00000011929.1)". Lineage: Eukaryota; Metazoa; Chordata; Aves; Charadriiformes; Scolopacidae. The record is from RNAcentral.